UCUAAAAGUAAUAAAAAAUUGAAGUAUUAAAAGUUAUGUUCUCUAAAUUUAAAGAUUUUGGCGGUAUUUUAAUCUUUUCAGAGGAACCUGUUCUAUAAUUGAUAAYCCACGAUUAAUUUUAUUUAAAUUAGAAAUUUGUAUAUCAUCGUAAUUUGAAUAUUUUAUAAGAAUUAAAUAUUCAAUAUUUUUAAUUUGAAAAUAAAUCAGAUCAAGGUGCAGUUUAUAUUUAAGGAGUAAUGGGUUACAUUAAAUUAAUUUUUGGAUUUAAAAUUGAAAAUUUUAUUUAAAUUGGAUUUGAAAGUAAAUAUAAAAAUAUUUUUAUAUUGAUUAAGUUCUAAAAUAUGC
Molecule: ribosomal RNA, 345 nt
Filed under: Stanus bowesteadi
Lineage: Eukaryota; Metazoa; Arthropoda; Insecta; Coleoptera; Corylophidae
Description: partial 12S ribosomal RNA
Source: RNAcentral